GCCCACUUAGCUCAGAUGGUAGAGCUUUGUACUUAUGGGGUUACUUUAUGUCUACGCAUAUUGUGAAAUGCAAGGGUCGGCAGUUCGAUCCUGCCAGUGGGCA
Non-coding RNA from Lentinula detonsa, 103 nucleotides. NCBI's taxonomy places the organism in Eukaryota, Fungi, Basidiomycota, Agaricomycetes, Agaricales, Omphalotaceae. The record is from the annotation of a GenBank genome assembly.